AUCCCUUCUCAGCCUUUUGGCUAAGAUCAAGUGUAGUAUAUUAGUAAGGAUAUGCACUUGCUUUUUGCCUUCCUUUAGUAUUCCAAUUUCUAAAGAAAGUAGAGAUCCUGGGAGAUAUUGCCAUUUUUCAGGUUUAUUACCUGGCAAGUGUUUUUGACAGACCAAUUACAAUUUU
Delphinapterus leucas (beluga whale) is the source of this 175-nucleotide small nuclear RNA. Its record names the gene U2. It matches the Rfam family "U2 spliceosomal RNA". Rfam says of the family: U2 is a small nuclear RNA (snRNA) component of the spliceosome (involved in pre-mRNA splicing). Complementary binding between U2 snRNA (in an area lying towards the 5' end but 3' to hairpin I) and the branchpoint sequence (BPS) of the intron results the bulging out of an unpaired adenosine, on the BPS, which initiates a nucleophilic attack at the intronic 5' splice site, thus starting the first of two transesterification reactions that mediate splicing. Lineage: Eukaryota; Metazoa; Chordata; Mammalia; Artiodactyla; Monodontidae. The record is from Ensembl.